RNAcentral lists this ribosomal RNA (380 nucleotides) under uncultured eukaryote. RNAcentral describes it as "partial 18S ribosomal RNA". It matches the Rfam family "Eukaryotic small subunit ribosomal RNA", at positions 592 to 976 of the family's 1831-position model. The record is from RNAcentral.
CAAUAGCGUAUACUAACAUUGUUGCAGUUAAAAAGCUCGUAGUUGGAUUUCUGGCUGUAUGCUUAUCGCCCCGUUAUUUAGCCAUUGUGCUUUAUAAUGCGCGUGCAGAUUCGCGGCAGCCAUCCUUCGGAUACCCUUUUGGGUGUUCCGAUCGAUUACUUUGAAGAAAUUAGAGUGUUCAAAGCAGGCAAUCGCUGUUGAAUACAUUAGCAUGGAAUAAUAAGAUAGGACUUGUGUUCUAUUUUGUUGGUUUCUAGAACCGCAAGUAAUGAUUGAUAGGGACAGUUGGGGGUGCUCGUAUUCCGUGGCCAGUGGUGAAAUACGAUGAUUCACGGAAGACGAACUAAUGCGAAANCANNNACCAAGGAUGUCUUCUUNGA